This 258-nucleotide ribosomal RNA is filed under the name uncultured bacterium. RNAcentral's name for it is "partial 16S ribosomal RNA". It matches the Rfam family "Bacterial small subunit ribosomal RNA", at positions 15 to 263 of the family's 1533-position model. The record is from RNAcentral.
GAUCAUGGCUCAGGAUGAACGCUAGCUAUAGGCUUAACACAUGCAAGUCGAGGGGCAGCAUUUUAGUUUGCUUGCAAACUAAAGAUGGCGACCGGCGCACGGGUGAGUAACACGUAUCCAACCUGCCGAUAACUCGGGGAUAGCCUUUCGAAAGAAAGAUUAAUAUCCGAUAGUAUAUUAAAACCGCAUGGUUUUACUAUUAAAGAAUUUCGGUUAUCGAUGGGGAUGCGUUCCAUUAGUUUGUUGGCGGGGUAACGG